CCUACGGGUGACAGCAGUGAGGAAUAUUGGUCAAUGGACGCGAGCCUGAACCAGCCAAGCCGCGUGCAGGAUGACGGCUCUAUGAGUUGUAAACUGCUUUUGUAAGAGGAUAAACGCAGAUACGCGUACCUGUCUGUAAGUAUCUUACAAAUAAGGAUCGGCUAACUCCGUGCCAGCAGCCGCGGUAAUACGGAGGAUUCGAGCGUUAUCCGGAUUUAUUGGGUUUAAAGGGUGCGUAGGCGGUCGGAUAAGUUAGAGGUGAAAGCACGAGGCUCAACUUCGGAAUUGCCUCUGAUACUGGUAGGCUAGAGAGUAGUUGCGGUAGGCGGAAUGUAUGGGGGAGCGGUGAAAGGAUUAGAGAUCAUACAGAACACCGAGUGCGAAGGCAGCUUACCAAGCUACUUCUGACGUUGAGGCACGAAAGCGUGGGGAGCAAACAGGAUUAGAUACCCCUGUAGUC
This 460-nucleotide ribosomal RNA is filed under the name uncultured bacterium. RNAcentral's name for it is "partial 16S ribosomal RNA". It matches the Rfam family "Bacterial small subunit ribosomal RNA", at positions 338 to 795 of the family's 1533-position model. The record is from RNAcentral.